RNAcentral lists this unclassified non-coding RNA (217 nucleotides) under Hevea brasiliensis (rubber tree). The record is from RNAcentral. Lineage: Eukaryota; Viridiplantae; Streptophyta; Magnoliopsida; Malpighiales; Euphorbiaceae.
GUCUUCUUCUUUAUAUGACUAAAUAUUUUUGUUCCCACAUGUCUUCACAAAUGAGAUGUUGUUUUCUAGCUAUAAUAUGUUGGUAUAUCAGCCCACAAGCUCACCUUCAGUUCUCCCAUGAAAGCUCCAAUCUAUUCUGAUUUCUUGUUUUCACAGGCAUAUAGGUUGAAUAUAUUGUUCAAUUGUUGGUUGCAGUUAUUGCUGACCCAGGUGGAGG